UACAGAGGGUGCAAGCGUUGUUCGGAAUUACUGGGCGUAAAGCGAACGUAGGUGGUUAUGUGUGUCUGGUGUGAAAGCCCACGGCUCAACCGUGGAAGUGCGCCAGAAACUGCGUAACUGGAGUGUAGGAGAGGAUAGUAGAAUUCUCAGUGUAGAGGUGAAAUUCGUAGAUACUGGGAGGAACACCGGUGGCGAAGGCGACUAUCUGGACUAUAACUGACACUGAUGUUCGAAAGCGUGGGUAGCAAACAGG
This 253-nucleotide ribosomal RNA is filed under the name uncultured bacterium. Its description in RNAcentral is "partial 16S ribosomal RNA". It matches the Rfam family "Bacterial small subunit ribosomal RNA", at positions 524 to 776 of the family's 1533-position model. The record is from RNAcentral.